RNAcentral lists this ribosomal RNA (580 nucleotides) under Bacillus sp. (in: firmicutes). RNAcentral describes it as "bacterial SSU rRNA". It matches the Rfam family "Bacterial small subunit ribosomal RNA", at positions 97 to 663 of the family's 1533-position model. Lineage: Bacteria; Bacillati; Bacillota; Bacilli; Caryophanales; Bacillaceae. The record is from RNAcentral.
GGCGGACGGGUCAGUAACACGGGGGUAACCUGCCCAAACCUGUGGGAUAACUCCGGGAAACCGGGGCUAAUACCGGAUAACAUUUUGAACUGCCUGGUUCGAAAGUGAAAGGCUGCUUCGGCUGUCACUUAUGGAUGGACCCGCGUCGCAUUAGCUAGUUGGUGAGGUAACGGCUCACCAAGGCAACGAUGCGUAGCCGACCUGAGAGGGUGAUCGGCCACACUGGGACUGAUACACGGCCCACACUCCUACGGGAGGCAGCAGUAGGGAAUCUUCCGCAAUGGACGAAAGUCUGACGGAUCAACGCCGCGUGAGUGAUGAAGGCUUUCGGGUCUUAAAACUCUGUUGUUAGGGAAGAACAAGUGCUAGUUGAAUAAGCUGGCACCUUGACGGUACCUAACCAGAAAGCCACGGCUAACUACGUGCCAACAGCCGCGGAAAUACGUAAGUGGCAAGCGUUAUCCGGAAUUUAUUGGGCGUAUAGCGCGCGCAGGUGGUUUCUAGGUCUGAUGUGAAAGACCACAGCUCACCCGGGCAAGGUCAUUGGAACUGGGAGACUUGGGUGACAUAAGAGACAGUG